UAGGGAAUAUUGGUCAAUGGGUGGAAGCCUGAACCAGCCAUGCCGCGUGCAGGAAGACGGCCUUCUGGGUUGUAAACUGCUUUUAUCUGGGGAUAAAAUACCCUUGCGAGGGAGACUGAAGGUACCAGAUGAAUAAGCCACGGCUAACUACGUGCCAGCAGCCGCGGUAAUACGUAGGUGGCAAGCGUUGUCCGGAUUCAUUGGGUUUAAAGGGUGCGUAGGCGGCCAUUUAAGUCAGUGCUGAAAUAUCACAGCUUAACUGUGAGGGUGGCAUUGAUACUGGAUGGCUUGAGUGCUAGCGAGGCAGGCGGAAUUGACGGUGUAGCGGUGAAAUGCAUAGAUAUCGUCAAGAACACCGAUAGUGUAGACAGCUUGCCAGGGAGCAACUGACGCUGAGGCACGAAAGUGUGGGGAUCAAACAGG
RNAcentral lists this ribosomal RNA (423 nucleotides) under uncultured Flammeovirgaceae bacterium. RNAcentral describes it as "bacterial SSU rRNA". It matches the Rfam family "Bacterial small subunit ribosomal RNA", at positions 355 to 776 of the family's 1533-position model. The record is from RNAcentral. Lineage: Bacteria; Pseudomonadati; Bacteroidota; Cytophagia; Cytophagales; Flammeovirgaceae.